Oncorhynchus kisutch (coho salmon) is the source of this 175-nucleotide small nuclear RNA. Its record names the gene U2. It matches the Rfam family "U2 spliceosomal RNA". From Rfam's summary of the family: U2 is a small nuclear RNA (snRNA) component of the spliceosome (involved in pre-mRNA splicing). Complementary binding between U2 snRNA (in an area lying towards the 5' end but 3' to hairpin I) and the branchpoint sequence (BPS) of the intron results the bulging out of an unpaired adenosine, on the BPS, which initiates a nucleophilic attack at the intronic 5' splice site, thus starting the first of two transesterification reactions that mediate splicing. Lineage: Eukaryota; Metazoa; Chordata; Actinopteri; Salmoniformes; Salmonidae. The record is from Ensembl.
AAAACUUUUCCAAAAUAAAAAAGAAUCUGUUAUCAGUUUAAUAUCUGAUACGUCCCCUGUCUGGGGACCAUAUAUUAAAUAGAUUUUUGGAAUAGGGAGAUGGAAUAGGGGCUUGCUCUGUCCACUCCACGCAUCAACCUGGUAUUGCAGUACCUCCAGGAACGGUGCACCCCCU